RNAcentral lists this ribosomal RNA (256 nucleotides) under uncultured bacterium. Its description in RNAcentral is "partial 16S ribosomal RNA". It matches the Rfam family "Bacterial small subunit ribosomal RNA", at positions 524 to 776 of the family's 1533-position model. The record is from RNAcentral.
GACGUAGGUGGCGAACGUUAUCCGGAAUUAUUGGGCGUAAAGGGUGCGUAGCCGGCAUGACAAGUUAUUGGCGGGAAAUCGAGGCUCAACCUCGUGGAAACUAGUAAUACUGUUUUGCUUGAGUACAGGAGAGGUUAACGGAACUCCAUGUGGAGCGGUAAAAUGUGUAGAUAUAUGGAAGAACACCAAUAACGGCGAAGGCAGUUAACUAUUCUGUUACUGACGUUGAGGCACGAAAGCGUGGGGAGCAAAACGG